Molecule: unclassified non-coding RNA, 297 nt
Filed under: Trechisporales sp.
Lineage: Eukaryota; Fungi; Basidiomycota; Agaricomycetes; Trechisporales
Also listed under: 1 other name
Description: partial contains 5.8S ribosomal RNA, internal transcribed spacer 2, and large subunit ribosomal RNA
Rfam family: 5.8S ribosomal RNA (bases 1-52)
Source: RNAcentral
AACGCACCUUGCGCUCCUUGGUAUUCCGAGGAGCAUGCCUGUUUGAGUGUCUUGAAAUCAUCAAACCCCUCUGGUUUCUGCUGGAGCGGGUUUGGACUUGGGGGUUUUGCUGCCUCUGGCGGCUCCCCUUAAAUGAAUCGGUCGGGCUUUCGUGUGGCUUGUCCCUUGGCGUUGUAUCAACCUCGUCGCUGGAUGGCUCGCGAGCUUAGCGCCCCUCCAAGACCAGCCUCUGGAGUGGCGGUCAACUUCAAUUUGUGAUCUGACCUCAAAUCAGGUAGGACUACCCGCUGAACUUAA